CAAACCCUCCACAGGUUUCCCCCAAAAUCCCCUCCUUUGUCCCCCCAAAAACCCGUCCCGUGUCACCAAAACCCCACCACGUGUCACGUGUCCCAUGUCCCCGUGUCCCGUCUCCCCAUCUCCCGUGUCCUGUGUCAUCCCCAUGUCCCGUGUCCCCCUGGUGUCCUCGUGUCCCCAUCCCUGUGUCCCCAUGUCCCGUGUCCCCGUGUCCUCAUGGUGUCCUCGUGUCCCCAUGUCCCGUGUCCCGUGUCCUGUGUCAUCCCCGUGUCCCCGUGUCUCCGUGUUCUGUGUUUCCAUCUCCAUGCCUCAUGUCCCGUGUCCCAUCUCCCGUGUCCUGUGUCAUCCCCGUGUCCCCAUGUCCCACGUCAUCCCCGUGUCCCUGUGUCCCGUGUCCCCGUGUCAUCCCCAUGUCCCACGUCCCCGUGUCCCCGUGUCAUCCCUGUGUCCCCAUGUCCCAUGUCCUGUGUCCCCGUGCCCCAUUUCCCCAUCUCCUGUGUCCCGUGUCCCCAUCUCCCGUGUCAUCCCCAUGUCCCUGUGUCCCGUGUCCCAUGUCCCCAUGUCCUGUGUCCCCGUGUCCCAUGUCAUCCCCGUGUCCCAUGUCAUCCCUGUGUCCCAUGUCCCGUGUCCCCGUGUCCCAUGUCCCCAUCCCCACAUUCUGUGUCAUCCUCAUGUCCCGUGUCCCGUGUCCCCUUAUCCCAUGUCCCGUGUCCCCGUGGUGUCGUGUCCCCAUCCCUGCGUCCCCAUGUCCCGUGUCCCCAUGUCCCAUGUCAUUCCCGUGUACCCGUGUCCUGUGUUUCCAUCCCCAUGCCUCGUGUCCCGUGUUCCACAUCCCUGUGUCCCCGUGUCCUGUGUCAUCCCUGUGUCCCCAUGUCCCAUGUCCCGUGUCCCCGUGUCCCAUGUCCCCAUCCCCACGUUCUGUGUCAUCCCCGUGUCCCCGUGUCCUGUGUCAUCCCCGUGUCCCCAUGUCCCAUGUCCCCGUGCCCCAUUUCCCCAUCUCAUGUGUCCCGUGUCCCCGUGUCCCGUGUCAUCCCUGUGUCCCGUGUCCCCAUGUCCCAUGUCCUGUGUCCCCGUGUCCCGUGUCAUCCCCGUGUCCCGUGUCCCCGUGUCGCACCGGCGCAGGAGCGCACGCCCUUGUGCAGCCGCAGCUGGAACCCGCGGUGACAGUGACAGUUGUAGGAGCCGCCCGUGUUCAUGCACACGCCGCGGCCCACGCCGCACGGGUCCGCCUCACACUCGUUCACGUCUGUGCGAGCACACGCGUGUCAGAGCGUGACGGGGCGUGACGUGCACCCCCCAACCCCCAGCGUGCGUGGGGAGGCCUGCCAAAGCACCAUCCCCCCCCCCCCGUGC
RNAcentral lists this long non-coding RNA (1350 nucleotides) under Calidris pugnax (ruff). RNAcentral's name for it is "lncRNA (ENSCPUG00000001634.1)". Lineage: Eukaryota; Metazoa; Chordata; Aves; Charadriiformes; Scolopacidae. The record is from RNAcentral.